CCUACGGGAGGCAGCAGUCGGGAAUAUUGGACAAUGGGGGAAACCCUGAUGCAGCGACGCCGCGUGCGUGAAGAAGGAUUUCGGUAUGUAAAGCGCUAUCAGCAGGGAAGAAACUUACGGUACCUUACUAACAAGCCUCCGCUAACUCCGGGCCAGCCGCCGCGGGAAUACGGAGGGGGCAAGCGUUAUCCGGAUUUAAUGGGGGGAAAGGGAGCGUAGGCGGGGCAGCAAGUUUGGUGUGAAAGCCCGGGGCCCAACCCCGGGACUGCAAUGGAAACUGAUGGACUGGAGUACAGGAGAGGUAAGCGGAAUUCCUAGUGUAGCGGUGAAAUGCGUAGAUAUUAGGAGGAACACCAGUGGCGAAGGCGGCUUACUGGACAGUAACUGACGUUGAGGCACGAAAGCGUGGGGAGCAAACAGGAUUAGAUACCCGAGUAGUC
Molecule: ribosomal RNA, 440 nt
Filed under: uncultured bacterium
Lineage: Bacteria
Description: partial 16S ribosomal RNA
Rfam family: Bacterial small subunit ribosomal RNA
Source: RNAcentral